This is a long non-coding RNA of Pipistrellus kuhlii (Kuhl's pipistrelle), 522 nucleotides long. RefSeq lists it as uncharacterized. Lineage: Eukaryota; Metazoa; Chordata; Mammalia; Chiroptera; Vespertilionidae. The record is from RefSeq and is a predicted model, not a curated record. The transcript has 3 exons.
CUCAGAACUAAGGUUUUUGAAGUACUUUUUAAGAUCAUAUACCCAGUGAUUGAAACGGUAACAAGGUGCUCUUUUCUAUUGUUCUGAGGGGGAAAUGUAGAAAAAUAAUUUUUCAUGACCAGGUCAAUGGAAUUUGGAGAGAAAGAACCCUACUCGGAAACCUGUUUCAGCAGGAUUUUCUUACCCCUUCCAAUGAAAUAAAUUUCACCAUGAGAAAAGAACUAAAUAAAAUGAUCAGUUAGUGUAGGAGACAAAUGCUAAUAAAUGAUUGUGGAGGUAGGCAUUGUGGGGCAAGAUUAUCUUAAAGAAGAAAUGCUUCCUAUGCUCAUGUACACACAUGCAUACAAACAUGCACAAACACACACACACAAAAAAUCCCAGUUUUGGGGUGAGGGGAGAAGCCAAAUUCUGGGUAGAGCUGGAGAUAGAAAAACUUGAAAGUCCAGAAAUCAGUAUAAACAAAAGACAGGUGCAUACAAAGGGGUUUUGACUAAGUAUCACUGCAACUGAGUUUGUUGACUG